RNAcentral lists this ribosomal RNA (357 nucleotides) under uncultured bacterium. Its description in RNAcentral is "partial 16S ribosomal RNA". It matches the Rfam family "Bacterial small subunit ribosomal RNA", at positions 338 to 710 of the family's 1533-position model. The record is from RNAcentral.
CCUACGGGUGGCAGCAGUGGGGAAUAUUGGUCAAUGGGCGAAAGCCUGACCCAGCAACGCCGCGUGAAGGAAGAAGGCUUUCGGGUUGUAAACUCCUUUUGAUAGGGAAGAGCAUAACACGGUAUAUGUCGAAAACGCCAUGGCGAACUACGUGACAGCAGCCGCGGUAAUAGGCAGGUGGCACGUGUUUCCCGGAUUUACUGGGUGUAAAGGGCGUGUAGCCGGGCUGACAAGUCAGGUGUGAAAUCCGGGGGCUUAACCCCCGAACUGCAUUUGAAACUGUUGGUCUUGAGUAUCGGAGAGGCAGGCGGAAUUCCUGGUGUAGCGGUGAAAUGCGUAGAUAUUAGGAGGAACACC